Molecule: non-coding RNA, 726 nt
Organism: Pelobates cultripes (western spadefoot toad)
Lineage: Eukaryota; Metazoa; Chordata; Amphibia; Anura; Pelobatidae
Source: the annotation of a GenBank genome assembly
CUGGUUUGUUCCUGUAUGUGACAGACUGUAACUUUAAAGGGAUACUAUAAGUGCCAGGAAUACAAAGCUGUAUUCCUGGCACUAUAGCCCUAUUGUCUCCCCUUCCCUCUUGUGCCUCCUCCCCGGUGAAUAAAGGUUAUAACCCCUUUUUUUUUACUUAUCUUACACCAACGCCGAUGUCCCUCGGCAUUGGCUCGCGGCUCUUCCUCCUUUUCUAUCCUGAGACGAGCGUGCGCUUAUGUGCACGCGCAGCAAAUGCUGCACGGCAUUAGACCUCCCCAUGAGAAAGCAUUGAAUCAGUGCUUUUCUAUGGGGAACAAUCUGAUGCUCGAUGUCCUCAUAUAGAGCGUGAGGGCAUCCAGCAUCAGAUACCGGACCAAAGGUCCAUUUGGAUGCAGGAAGCAUCUCCAGUGACUUUCUGAGAGACAACCAUUGGAAGCAGACUUAGUGCUACAAUGUAAACAUUGGAGUUUCUCUGGAAUUGCAAUAUGGACACCACCCAGACCACUUAAAUGAGCUGUAAUGGUCUGAUUGCCCCUUUAAGAAAUUUGCAGGAUUGUUUAGCAUGUAGCAGAUUUUUUUUCUCUAGGCCACAUUGUACUUCUGAAUAUUGCAGUUCCACAUGUAUAUAUCAUUCACUUUAAAAGUACAGUGGAUUUCAAAGAUAAACAAUUCUAAAUUUGAUGAAAAUCUUUUUUUUAUUUUAAAUUUUUUUUUAAUAGUAAU